This is a long non-coding RNA of Pipistrellus kuhlii (Kuhl's pipistrelle), 755 nucleotides long. RefSeq lists it as uncharacterized. The record is from RefSeq and is a predicted model, not a curated record. The transcript is spliced from 2 exons. NCBI's taxonomy places the organism in Eukaryota, Metazoa, Chordata, Mammalia, Chiroptera, Vespertilionidae.
AUUCACAUCUUUAGUUUUAAAGCUUGUGGUCUGUUGGUAUAAUAACAUUCUGUCUUUUAUUAAAAGGUAUGCUCAAUUUUUUUGUUGGUACAAGCAUUCUGAAAUAUAAGGACAUAAUUUUUCUCUCAAAGAAUUCUAAUUUCACCCAGAGUAUUUAAAACGUCUAUAUUGUGAUAAACAUCCUGUUGUUUAUUUUGGUAUAUUAUCUAACAAAGAUGAAUUUCUAAUAAGAACGUAAAAAGAAUGAUCGUUAGUAACUAAGGAAGAAAAUAGUACAUCAAACUAAAUAUUGAGAACUGAUUAUAUUUGAAGUAAUUAUAACCAUGCCUCAGGUAUCUGACAUGGAUUGAUUUCAUUCUGUUUUUUGUAAAAGGUCUGACUUUUUUUCAGUGAUUUCUUACACAGAUCGUAUUAGAUGUGUUCAUGACAUGCAAGAAACCAUGAGUUUUAAAAUAUAGCUUAAUUUUUAAAGUUGUCAUUAAAAUUUUAAGAAUGAACAAGCUAUGAGAGAAAAAUAUUGCUGUUCUAAAUAUUAUUGAAAUGUAAAUACUAAAAAAAAAACAAAAAAGAGCUAUAGUAAAUUUUUAUGUCUUUGUAUUUAAAAUAUCAUUUCUUUUUCAGAGGGAUUGUAAAGUGUUCUGUUUUUUAGGAAAAGUUAUAUGGAAGAUGUUAAUUGCUUCUCAUUGCAGAUCUUUGACUAAUAUGAACCCUUGUUUUCUCAGAUUCCAGCUUUUGCUUUCUUUUGUGUACUUAUU